This 247-nucleotide ribosomal RNA is filed under the name uncultured marine eukaryote. RNAcentral's name for it is "partial 18S ribosomal RNA". It matches the Rfam family "Eukaryotic small subunit ribosomal RNA", at positions 1189 to 1456 of the family's 1831-position model. The record is from RNAcentral.
CUUAAUUUGACUCAACACGGGGAACCUCACCCGGCCCGGACACCGCGAGGAUUGACAGACUGAGAGCUCUUUCUCGAUUCGGUGGGUGGUGGUGCAUGGCCGUUCUUAGUUGGUGGAGUGAUUUGUCUGGUUAAUUCCGUUAACGAACGAGACCUUAACCUGCUAAAUAGUGACGCGGUUCAUCGAACCGUGGGCCACUUCUUAGAGGGACUAUCGGAUUCAAACCGAUGGAAGUGUGAGGCAAUAA